UACCUCUGCCUCCCACCACACAUGCACACUUUGGACUCGACUGCUUUAAACCAUAUCAUGAAUUAGGUAUUUGAGCAUUGUGCUGAUGUGUAGCCUGAUGUCACGCUGGGCCUGAAGGGGCCUGAAGAGCUGAGAAAGAAGGCUGCAGAGGGAAAAUACAAGUCCAAAAUAGGCCUUGUUACAAGUGACUGCAAAAAUCCUUUACAUGCUGUCUGCAAAGAUGUCUAGUGGAUCUCAAAUGAGCAACAAGACAUCCCCUAAUACAUCUCCACAGCCCCCUCUAAGUCCAACAGCACAGUC
Molecule: non-coding RNA, 300 nt
Organism: Danio rerio (zebrafish)
Lineage: Eukaryota; Metazoa; Chordata; Actinopteri; Cypriniformes; Danionidae
Source: Ensembl